GACGAACGCUGGCGGCGUGCCUAAUACAUGCAAGUUGAGCGCUGAAGGUUGGUACUUGUACCAACUGGAUGAGCAGCGAACGGGUGAGUAACGCGUGGGGAAUCUGCCUUUGAGCGGGGGACAACAUUUGGAAACGAAUGCUAAUACCGCAUAAAAACUUUAAACACAAGUUUUAAGUUUGAAAGAUGCAAUUGCAUCACUCAAAGAUGAUCCCGCGUUGUAUUAGCUAGUUGGUGAGGUAAAGGCUCACCAAGGCGAUGAUACAUAGCCGACCUGAGAGGGUGAUCAGCCACAUUGGGACUGAGACACGGCCCAAACUCCUACGGGAGGCAGCAGUAGGGAAUCUUCGGCAAUGGACGAAAGUCUGACCGAGCAACGCCGCGUGAGUGAAGAAGGUUUUCGGAUCGUAAAACUCUGUUGGUAGAGAAGAGCGUUGGUGAGAGUGGAAAGCUCAUCAAGUGACGGUAACUACCCAGAAAGGGACGGCUAACUACGUG
This 497-nucleotide ribosomal RNA is filed under the name uncultured bacterium. Its description in RNAcentral is "partial 16S ribosomal RNA". It matches the Rfam family "Bacterial small subunit ribosomal RNA", at positions 28 to 507 of the family's 1533-position model. The record is from RNAcentral.